GCCUAAUACAUGCAAGUCGAACGCAUUGUGGUUGAAAUGAUUAUGAAGAACUUGUUCAGAUUUGAUUUUCAACAUUGCAAUGAGUGGCGAACGGGUGAGUAACACGUGGGAAACCUACCUCUUAGCAGGGGAUAACAUUUGGAAACAAAUGCUAAUACCGUAUAAUAAUUAAAACCGCAUGGUUUUAGUUUAAAAGAUGGUCUUGCUAUCACUAAGAGAUGGUCCCGCGGUGUAUUAGUUAGUUGGUGAGGUAAUGGCUCACCAAGACAAUGAUACAUAGCCGAGUUGAGAGACUGACCGGCCACAAUGGGACUGAGACACGGCCCAUACUCCUACGGGAGGCAGCAGUAGGGAAUCUUCCACAAUGGACGAAAGUCUGAUGGAGCAACGCCGCGUGUGUGAUGAAGGGUUUCGGCUCGUAAAACACUGUUGUAAGAGAAGAAUGACAUUGAGAGUAACUGUUCAAUGUGUGACGGUAUCUUACCAGAAAGGAACGGCUAAAUACGUG
RNAcentral lists this ribosomal RNA (508 nucleotides) under uncultured bacterium. RNAcentral describes it as "bacterial SSU rRNA". It matches the Rfam family "Bacterial small subunit ribosomal RNA", at positions 46 to 507 of the family's 1533-position model. The record is from RNAcentral.